AUUAAUAUUCCUAAGAAUUCUAUGUAAUAGUAAUUCCUAAACUAAUAUUUCUAACUAAACUAAGAAUCCUAAUUAUCUAGAAUUUCAAAAUUAAGCUAAUAUCAAUUAAUUCUAAUAUUUCUAAAAGUCUAUUUCACUAUUUGACGUAUCAUUUAAUCCAAAUUUUAAUCAAAGUUAAUAUUUCAAAAAAAACCUAUCUAAAUCUAAUUAACCUACUAUUUCUAAUAAACCUAAUUUCCUAAACUAAUCGAUUUCCAAAAUUCCUAGAAUUCCUAAUUAACAUACUAAUCAUCCUAAAAUUUCUAAUUACCUAAACUAAUCCUAAUAUCAAAUUAAACUAAUCAUCCUAAUUACUGCUAAAAGUUUUUUUUCUAAAAUCUUAAUCUAACUUAAAAAGAUCAUAAUGCUUCUAAUUAAAACUACCUAAUUCUAUGAAAUUGGACAUUAUUCCUAAAAACUAGUUAACAUGUAAUUAACACACCAUUAACAAGAAAUGGGCCUUGUACUGACCCGGGGGUGCAGGCCUGAUAGGAGGUGCAAUCCGGGAAAGAUCCGCUUCUUCUUUGGUCCAAACCGGAUGCAAGCGUUGAAAUUCAACCUUACGCACACGAAGGUGACAGGCAAACGCGACUUCGACUCAGAGCUUGGCGGUGUGUUGCGAUCCGUCCUUCAUCUCACGAGUUCAUCUUCUUCAACGACGGAUCAAAACAAAACUCAGAUAAUCAGCGUCGCGAAAUCAAUCUCGACCGUUCGAUUUGAUUAGCCUGCAAACGCACGAAAAUGAAUGCGAAAUCGAAAGAGAGGAUCGCUGGAUUGAAGCUCGAUUGAGGACAGGUGUCUGGAUUCUAACAAGUAUAUCUUCUUCUUCUAACACUCGUGGCAACGAAUCGGACUUUCGUCACGAACAGGCAGAGUUUGUUGUGAAUUGGAAAUGGAGGUUUGAUGAAGGUGACUGUGAAUUUGUGGUUGAAGGUUUUGGUUGAAGAAUUGGAAGAGAGUUUUUGAUGAAGGUGAUUGUGAAUUGAAAAACGGUUACGGUUACUGUGGUUGAAGGUUUUGGUUGUAGAAGAUUAGGUGAUGGAGGAGGGAGUUUUGUGAAGGUGGUUGAUGAAUGGAGGUUGAAGAAGGAGAAGCUGGAAGCGGUUGAAGAUUGAUUUAUAUAGGGAUGAGAGUGAGGUUCGAAGUUUGUUAUGAAGAAAAUUUUGUUAUUGGAUUGGUCAUUUUUUCUGUGAAAUUAUGCAGGUUUUUGUAUUGGCUUGUGUAUUAGCUGCGUUUUGCUUGCGGUUUACCGGCUUGGCUCGCUUGUGGCUUGAGUUCUUGGAAUUGCAGCACCGCUUGUUUUGCUGAGCUGCAUUUUACUUCUUGGCUCAGGCUGUAUCGUAGCCUUCGUUCACUAUUCAUGCCGUUUUGAUUUUCUCUUCUAUGUUGCAGCCCCGUUUUACUACUUGGUUGCCUUUUUUGCAUUUGGAAUUUGGUACUGAUGCCAAUCUACUUUGGUAUGCUGGUGUUUUGUCUGUCAUGUAGCAGUACUUCCCAUGGCCUUCUCAUUUUCAUACAUGGCAUUGGUCUCGGAGAUUAUAAAUUGGAUAUGCAACAUUGAUUAUUAUUUGAAUAUGAAAUGGAUUAGAAAAGUGGGUAA
Lathyrus oleraceus (garden pea) is the source of this 1639-nucleotide long non-coding RNA. RefSeq lists it as uncharacterized. The record is from RefSeq and is a predicted model, not a curated record. NCBI's taxonomy places the organism in Eukaryota, Viridiplantae, Streptophyta, Magnoliopsida, Fabales, Fabaceae. The transcript is spliced from 2 exons.